AAGAGUUAGUCCUAUCCGGAUGGUUGUUUUUGAGAAAUACAUACAUGCAUGUAUGCGCGAGUCAGAGUAAACGCGCUCGCCUGCCUACAUACAUGCAGUGAGGAGGGAGUGUCAAUCAGGCACACGUAGGUGGUCGCGCAGGCUGCCUAGGUCACGCCCGCACGCGUGUGUAUCCGUCAGUAACUUACAGCAAGCAGUGCGAGCAUGCUUGAGUUAGAGCAACAGCCUAACUUCAAGGGUUGGUAAAUCUUGUGCCAGCCACCGCGGUCAUACAAGAAACCCAAAUCAACCGUCCUGUUGACACGGCGUAAAGAGUGGUAAAAUGCCUAUCCUAGCUAACUAAGAUCAAAAUGCAACUGAGCUGUCAUAAGCCCAAGAUGCACCUAAACACACCAUUAAGAUGAUCUUAGGAACUAACGACUGAUUUAAACCCACGAAAGCCAGGGCCCAAACUGGGAUUAGAUACCCCACUAUGCCUGGCCCUAAAUCUUGAUACUUACUUUACCGAAGUAUCCGCCAGAGAACUACGAGCACAAACGCUUAAAACUCUAAGGACUUGGCGGUGCCCCAAACCCACCUAGAGGAGCCUGUUCUACAAUCGAUAAUCCCCGAUUAACCCAACCACCCCUUGCCAACACAGCCUACAUACCGCCGUCGCCAGCCCACCUCGAAUGAGAGCACAACAGUGGACACAAUAGCACCCCGCUAAUAAGACAGGUCAAGGUAUAGCCUAUGGAGUGGAAGAAAUGGGCUACAUUCCCUAUUCAUAGGGCACACGGAAAGAAGCGUGAAACCACUUCUGGAAGGCGGAUUUAGCAGUAAAGUGGGACAAUAGAGCCUACUUUAAGCCGGCCCUGGGGCACGUACAUACCGCCCGUCACCCUCCUCAAAAGCCACAUCCCACAUAACUAAUACCAUUAAUACGCUGAUGAUGAGGUAUAAGUCGUAACAAGGUAAGUGUACCGGAAGGUGUACUUAGAAUAU
RNAcentral lists this non-coding RNA (984 nucleotides) under Anser fabalis (Taiga bean goose). RNAcentral describes it as "12S ribosomal RNA". The stretch from base 101 to 984 matches the Rfam family "Bacterial small subunit ribosomal RNA". The record is from RNAcentral. Lineage: Eukaryota; Metazoa; Chordata; Aves; Anseriformes; Anatidae.